This 72-nucleotide transfer RNA is filed under the name Petrosia ficiformis. RNAcentral's name for it is "tRNA-Asn". It matches the Rfam family "tRNA". Rfam says of the family: Transfer RNA (tRNA) molecules are approximately 80 nucleotides in length. Their secondary structure includes four short double-helical elements and three loops (D, anti-codon, and T loops). Lineage: Eukaryota; Metazoa; Porifera; Demospongiae; Haplosclerida; Petrosiidae. The record is from RNAcentral.
UCUACAGUAGCUUAGUGGUAAAGCUUUUGGCUGUUAACCAAAAAAAUAUCAGUUCGACUCUGGUUUGUAGAG